CCUACGGGAGGCAGCAGUGAGGAAUAUUGGUCAAUGGGCGGAAGCCUGAACCAGCCAAGUAGCGUGCAGGAUGACGGCCCUACGGGUUGUAAACUGCUUUUAUACGGGAAUAACGCGCCUUACGUGUAGGGCUUUGCAUGUAACGUAUGAAUAAGGACCGGCUAAUUCCGUGCCAGCAGCCGCGGUAAUACGGAUGGUCCGGGCGUUAUCCGGAUUUAAUGGGUUUAAAGGGAGCGUAGGCCGCCUGUCACGCGUUCUGUGAAAUGUCCGGGCUCAACCCGGGCCUUGCAGCGCGAACUGGCGUGCUUGAGUCCGCGGAACGCAGGCGGAAUUCGUCGUGUAGCGGUGAAAUGCUUAGAUAUGACGAAGAACCCCGAUUGCGAAGGCAGCUUGCUGCAGCGGAACUGACGCUGAUGCUCGAAAGCGCGGGUAUCGAACAGGAUUAGAUACCCCAGUAGUC
This 460-nucleotide ribosomal RNA is filed under the name uncultured bacterium. RNAcentral's name for it is "partial 16S ribosomal RNA". It matches the Rfam family "Bacterial small subunit ribosomal RNA", at positions 338 to 795 of the family's 1533-position model. The record is from RNAcentral.